CGGCGGACGGGUGAGUAAUGUCUGGGAAACUGCCCGAUGGAGGGGGAUAACUACUGGAAACGGUAGCUAAUACCGCAUAAUGUCUGCGGACCAAAGCGGGGGACCUCCGGGCCUCGCGCCAUCAGAUGAACCCAUAUGGGAUUAGCUUGUAGGUAAGGUAACGGCUUACCUAGGCGACGAUCCCUAGCUGGUCUGAGAGGAUGAUCAGCCACACUGGGACUGAGACACGGCCCAG
RNAcentral lists this ribosomal RNA (235 nucleotides) under uncultured bacterium. RNAcentral describes it as "partial 16S ribosomal RNA". It matches the Rfam family "Bacterial small subunit ribosomal RNA", at positions 96 to 334 of the family's 1533-position model. The record is from RNAcentral.